CGUUGAUUACGUCCCUGCCCUUUGUACACACCGCCCGUCGCUACUACCGAUUGAAUGGCUCAGUGAGGCCUUGGGACUGGCUCAGAGAGAGCGGCAACGCCCACUCAGAGCCGGAAAGUUGUUCAAACUUGGUCAUUUAGAGGAAGUAAAAGUCGUAACAAGG
RNAcentral lists this ribosomal RNA (163 nucleotides) under Exophiala xenobiotica. RNAcentral's name for it is "partial small subunit ribosomal RNA". It matches the Rfam family "Eukaryotic small subunit ribosomal RNA", at positions 1639 to 1799 of the family's 1831-position model. The record is from RNAcentral. Lineage: Eukaryota; Fungi; Ascomycota; Eurotiomycetes; Chaetothyriales; Herpotrichiellaceae.